GGGAAAGAAACCGACUUUAAAUAACUCAUAAUUAUAUCAAAAGAUAGUCAUGCAAAAGCAAAGGAAUAAUCUUGAAUGGAACCAAAUGAGGAAUUAUUUGUCAUCAAGGACAAAGAAGCAUCAACUUCAUUGAUAGUUAUCUCAUUGGCCUUUAUCAUUUAUUCCAUUAAUACAUGUGUCAUAGAAUGCAUAUUCAUGUAUAUUUAAUCAUAACCUAGGGUUUU
Molecule: long non-coding RNA, 224 nt
Filed under: Setaria viridis
Lineage: Eukaryota; Viridiplantae; Streptophyta; Magnoliopsida; Poales; Poaceae
Description: long non-coding RNA (SVIR_LNC004431)
Source: RNAcentral